UACGUAGGGUGCAAGCGUUAUCCGGAAUUAUUGGGCGUAAAGAGCUCGUAGGCGGUUUGUCGCGUCUGCUGUGAAAACUGGAGGCUCAACCUCCAGCCUGCAGUGGGUACGGGCAGACUAGAGUGCGGUAGGGGAGAUUGGAAUUCCUGGUGUAGCGGUGGAAUGCGCAGAUAUCAGGAGGAACACCAAUAGCGAAGGCAGCUCGCUGGGACGUUACUGACACUGAGAUGCGAAAGCGUGGGGAGCAAACAGG
RNAcentral lists this ribosomal RNA (253 nucleotides) under uncultured bacterium. RNAcentral describes it as "partial 16S ribosomal RNA". It matches the Rfam family "Bacterial small subunit ribosomal RNA", at positions 524 to 776 of the family's 1533-position model. The record is from RNAcentral.